This 253-nucleotide ribosomal RNA is filed under the name uncultured bacterium. RNAcentral's name for it is "partial 16S ribosomal RNA". It matches the Rfam family "Bacterial small subunit ribosomal RNA", at positions 524 to 776 of the family's 1533-position model. The record is from RNAcentral.
UACGGAGGGUGCAAACGUUGCUCGGAAUCAUUGGGCGUAAAGCGCACGUAGGCGGUCCAGUAAGUCGGGUGUGAAAUCCCUCGGCUCAACCGAGGAAGUGCAUUCGAAACUACUGAACUUGAGUAUGGAAGAGGGUCGCGGAAUUCCCGGUGUAGAGGUGAAAUUCGUAGAUAUCGGGAGGAACACCAGUGGCGAAGGCGGCGACCUGGGCCAAUACUGACGCUGAGGUGCGAAAGCGUGGGGAGCAAACAGG